RNAcentral lists this ribosomal RNA (630 nucleotides) under Pseudoshirakia sp. BNHM-NA. RNAcentral describes it as "eukaryotic LSU rRNA". It matches the Rfam family "Eukaryotic large subunit ribosomal RNA", at positions 420 to 798 of the family's 3401-position model. Lineage: Eukaryota; Metazoa; Arthropoda; Insecta; Hymenoptera; Braconidae. The record is from RNAcentral.
CCUGAGAAACCCAAAAGAUCGAAUGGGGAGAUUCAUCGUCAGCUCGUUUUGUAUAUAUGCAUGUUGUGAUAUGGGUUACUAUUUAUAGUAUUGCCUGUACACUCUUGUGUAUUUAUUCGCAAGAUGUGGUCGGCGUGCACUUCUCCCCUAGUAGGACAUCGUGACCCGUUGAGUGUUGGUCUACGGCCCAAGUGGAAGCUUUUAAUGAACUUUGUUUAUUGAAAACCCUUGGUGUUUCCUGACCAGCGCUCGUCGGUAUUCGUAUGGUAUUGAGCCGCAUAUUKUAUGCGUUCUGUCCGUCACAAGCGAGGCUAGUUACCGAUAGUACGGACCUAGUGCCGUCGUUGGUACUAAUCAGCUGUUGGUUGUACGGAAUCCUAGGACUGGCUCUAUGAAAAUAUAUACCGGUCAGCGAUGCUACUGCUUUGGGUACUUUCAGGACCCGUCUUGAAACACGGACCAAGGAGUCUAACAUGUACGCGAGUCAUUGGGAUUUUUAUAAAUUAAACCUAAAGGCAUAAUGAAAGUAAAGGUCGUCCUUGCGUCGACCAAGGGAGGAUGGGCUAUGUUUCGAUAUAGCUCCGCACUCCCGGGGCGUCUCACUCUCAUUNCGAGAAGAGGCGCACCUAG